Molecule: long non-coding RNA, 1828 nt
Filed under: Homo sapiens (human)
Lineage: Eukaryota; Metazoa; Chordata; Mammalia; Primates; Hominidae
Description: non-protein coding lnc-FMN1-10:1
Source: RNAcentral
GAGUCUGCUCUGAGUCAUUGUGCUGGGCCUUGUCUGGCGGGGGGAUGGCACCUUGGGACCCUUUCUUUUUCCCUUCAGCAGCCGGCAGCAGGGUCCCCAAGAGGAGAAGCAGGGCUCCCACCGUGUAGGCUGUGCGGCUCAUACUAAAGAAAGGAAGCACAGAGAGGGGAAGACACAAAACAUGGCAAAGUUAAUUUAAAAAUUAAUAAUAAUAGCACCUAGCAUUUAAACGCACCGUUAAACACUUAACGUGAAAUAUUCCAUUUACUUCUCACAGUACCUGUAUGAAUUAGGUACUAUUAUCUCCAUGACCCAGCCAUCAAUCCAUGGAGUAACUCACCCAGAGUCCCACAGUGACUAAGUCAAGGUUUAAACUCAGCCAGGGCCUAGCUCUUCUCUGCACCUAUUCUCACAAGAACUUCUUCCUGGCCUCUGGCACCAACCACAUUUGUCUUUGUAUUACGUUCACUUAUUGAGGGGAACUUAUUUUCUAUUUUGUUUUACAGCAAGAUGAAUUAACCUCUCUGCUCAGAGGACUUCAUUCCUCCGGAAACCUCCCAGUCUUUUCUCCCCAACUAGCCUGAGGCUUCCUGAGCUGUGAAUGCUUAUGAGACUUUGCAUUUUUAUCAUAUGUGGAAGGAGAGAUUCAUGGAGACCAGAAGGCAUUUGACAGAGGGAAAACAACAAAACAGGAAAGGUCGCGCUCCUGGUGCAGUAACUUGCUAUCUGAUCUUAAAGAUGUCACUUUGUCUCUCAGUAAAUCACUCCAUUUAAGCAAAGAUACCAAUACUUCGUCUCCCCAGAGAGAAGUAAACACCAACUUCAAGAAUGUCAAUCGAGACCUCAGCUUCUCAGAGAACAGCAGUGCUCUGAGGCACACUAGCUGCUCUACAUGAGUGACAGUAAGCAGGGUAAGAACUAUAAUUCAUAGUGGAACCAGGGCUCUGCCACAUCCUUGUCAAUCACUCAAGCUCUCCCCACCCCCAGACUGCUCUUGAUUCUUCAGUGAAGGAAAUAGUAGUGAUGUGCACUUGAAAUCCCAGUUGUAGUAUCACCAAAUAAUGUGCACUUUGUAAAUAUCAGAGAUGUAGAGGAAAUGCAGAAGAUGUACAUUUCUUGAGGACAAUUCUUUUCCACAGCAACAUGUAGAAGGGUGUCCCAUAGUAAAAAUUCAAUCCAUAGCUCAUCCAGACUUAGGUUCCUAUGACAUCAUUCAUGCGCCGUCAUUAGCUGCAAACACUUUAUGGUAAUUUCCACCACUUAUGAAAUGGCCUACUCAUAUCACUAAAUUAAAUUAAGCUGCAUCUCAUAGACUCAGGGUGCAUCAAGAUACCUGACAUCUCCGUUGAUUCUUUUUUGCAGACAGUAUAUCUUCUUUUCAAACUCUGCCUCAACUUCCCAUCAAUGCAGUUCAGCUUCUUCAAGAAAUGUGAUGUUAUUCUCAUCAUGAGUUUUCUUUGCAACUGUCCACCAGCAAGUCUCACCCCAUCUCCACCUUUUUUUCUCUUUGCCUCUAUCCUCUCUUUCAUUCCACUUGUCCCAGAGGACACAUACUCUCAAAGCAGGUCCUCUCUACAGCAUGCUUUCCUUCCAGUUUCCCUUAGGGAUCAAGAGUAAACAUCUACAAGCAAGGUAAGCCAUAUUAACCACCUCUAUCCUGUGCAGGUCAUGGCAAUGUAUUCCAAUUUUCACAAAGCCUCUAGGAACACAAUAUUCUAAUACUGAGGACUGAGAAAUAAAAAUGGUAUAUGUAUGACCUGUUCCCAGUGUUCAUGAUGUCUUUGGGAAAGUUUAAGCCAGCUCUUUCCAUCCCUCUUCUUGCUGUAUU